GUCCCCAUCGUCUAGAGGCCUAGGACACUGCCCUUUCACGGCGGCAACACCGGUUCGAAUCCGGUUGGGGACG
Molecule: non-coding RNA, 73 nt
Organism: Proteobacteria bacterium CG1_02_64_396
Lineage: Bacteria; Pseudomonadati; Pseudomonadota
Source: Rfam